GCCGAGGUGGCGGAAUCCGGUAACGCGCCAGACUCGAGAUCUGGUUUCCGCAAGGAAGUUAGGGUUCAAAUCCCUACCUCGGCGCCA
RNAcentral lists this transfer RNA (87 nucleotides) under Microcaldota archaeon. Its description in RNAcentral is "tRNA-Ser". It matches the Rfam family "tRNA". From Rfam's summary of the family: Transfer RNA (tRNA) molecules are approximately 80 nucleotides in length. Their secondary structure includes four short double-helical elements and three loops (D, anti-codon, and T loops). Further hydrogen bonds mediate the characteristic L-shaped molecular structure. tRNAs have two regions of fundamental functional importance: the anti-codon, which is responsible for specific mRNA codon recognition, and the 3' end, to which the tRNAs corresponding amino acid is attached (by aminoacyl-tRNA synthetases). tRNAs cope with the degeneracy of the genetic code in two manners: having more than one tRNA (with a specific anti-codon) for a particular amino acid; and 'wobble' base-pairing, i.e. permitting non-standard base-pairing at the 3rd anti-codon position. The record is from RNAcentral. Lineage: Archaea; Nanobdellati; Microcaldota.